RNAcentral lists this ribosomal RNA (210 nucleotides) under uncultured bacterium. Its description in RNAcentral is "partial 16S ribosomal RNA". It matches the Rfam family "Bacterial small subunit ribosomal RNA", at positions 28 to 205 of the family's 1533-position model. The record is from RNAcentral.
GACGAACGCUGGCGGCGUGGCUAAGGCAUGCAAGUCGAACGGUCAUGCUUUGAAGGCAACGGAUGAGUAUGAUAGUGGCGAACGGGUGAGGAAUACAUAGAUAACGUACCCUAGACUCAGGGAUAGCGGCGUCCGCCGCAAGGCGGUACUUUGCGAAAGUGCCGGUAAUACCUGAUCGACCCCGUAGGAUCGCAUGACUCCCGGCGGGAC